CUGAGAGGAUGACCAGCCACACUGGAACUGAGACACGGUCCAGACUCCUACGGGAGGCAGCAGUGGGGAAUAUUGCACAAUGGGCGCAAGCCUGAUGCAGCCAUGCCGCGUGUAUGAAGAAGGCCUUCGGGUUGUAAAGUACUUUCAGCGGGGAGGAAGGGAGUAAAGUUAAUACCUUUGCUCAUUGACGUUACCCGCAGAAGAAGCACCGGCUAACUCCGUGCCAGCAGCCGCGGUAAUACGGAGGGUGCAAGCGUUAAUCGGAAUUACUGGGCGUAAAGCGCACGCAGGCGGUUUGUUAAGUCAGAUGUGAAAUCCCCGGGCUCAACCUGGGAACUGCAUCUGAUACUGGCAAGCUUGAGUC
This 364-nucleotide ribosomal RNA is filed under the name Escherichia coli. Its description in RNAcentral is "bacterial SSU rRNA". It matches the Rfam family "Bacterial small subunit ribosomal RNA", at positions 292 to 648 of the family's 1533-position model. The record is from RNAcentral. RNAcentral also lists the same sequence under 2 other names. Lineage: Bacteria; Pseudomonadati; Pseudomonadota; Gammaproteobacteria; Enterobacterales; Enterobacteriaceae.